GAUGAAGAACGCAGCGAAAUGCGAUAAGUAAUGUGAAUUGCAGAAUUCAGUGAAUCAUCGAAUCUUUGAACGCACCUUGCACUCCUUGGUAUUCCGAGGAGUACGCCUGUUCGAGUGUUAUGAAGCUCUCAAAACGCAAUUGGCUUAAAACCUGAUUGUUGUUUUGGAUUUGAACUUUGCCGUGUUAUAACGGCUGGUUUUAAAAGUAUUAGCUGGUACUAGAACGAAUUGGUUCUACUCAACGUGAUAAUUAUCUGAUCGUUGAGGACAUUCCUUUCACGAGGAAUGGCCAUAGUAAAUUCAAUGGACUGCUUCUAAUCUGGCUUUAAUUCUUUAUUGGAUUAACCACUUUUCAAAUCUGACCUCGAAUCAGGUGGGACUACCCGCUGAACUUAAGCAUAUCAAUAAGCGAGGA
RNAcentral lists this unclassified non-coding RNA (415 nucleotides) under soil metagenome. RNAcentral describes it as "partial contains 5.8S ribosomal RNA, internal transcribed spacer 2, and large subunit ribosomal RNA". The stretch from base 1 to 120 matches the Rfam family "5.8S ribosomal RNA", at positions 35 to 154 of the family's 154-position model. The record is from RNAcentral.